GACGAACGCUGGCGGCGUGCCUAAUACAUGCAAGUAGAACGCUGAAGGAGGAGCUUGCUUCUCCGGAUGAGUUGCGAACGGGUGAGUAACGCGUAGGUAACCUGCCUGGUAGCGGGGGAUAACUAUUGGAAACGAUAGCUAAUACCGCAUAAGAGUAGAUGUCGCAUGACAUUUGCUUAAAAGGUGCAACUGCACCACUACCAGAUGGACCUGCGUUGUAUUAGCUAGUUGGUGAGGGAACGGCUCACCAAGGCAACGAUACAUAGCCGACCUGAGAGGGUGAUCGGCCACACUGGGACUGGGACACGGCCCAGACUUCUACGGGAGGGAGCAGUAGGGGAUCUUCGGCAAUGGACGGAAGUCUGACCGAGCAACGCCGGGUGAGUGAAGAAGGUUUUCGGACCGUAAAGCUCUGUUGUAAGAGAAGAACGAGUGUGAGAGUGGAAAGUUCACACUGUGACGGUAUCUUACCAGAAAGGGACGGCUAACUACGUG
This 495-nucleotide ribosomal RNA is filed under the name uncultured bacterium. Its description in RNAcentral is "partial 16S ribosomal RNA". It matches the Rfam family "Bacterial small subunit ribosomal RNA", at positions 28 to 507 of the family's 1533-position model. The record is from RNAcentral.